Molecule: long non-coding RNA, 430 nt
Organism: Hevea brasiliensis (rubber tree)
Lineage: Eukaryota; Viridiplantae; Streptophyta; Magnoliopsida; Malpighiales; Euphorbiaceae
Exons: 3
Source: RefSeq, a predicted model, not a curated record
CGCAAGUCUAUUACAGGCUGCAUCUUUCUUGAUUCUUCUCUUAUUUGUUGGAAAGCUAAAAACAAUCAACAGUAUCUCCGUCAUCUUCCGAAGUCGAGUGUGGGGCCUUGGCAACAACUACUCUAUACCAUUCGAAAUCAGCAGUACUAACAUCGAGUUCGAAUUUCUUUGUGCUUUGUGUUCUUGGCAAGUGACAUGAUAAUGGAUAUGUAUGAAUAAUUGGAACGUGUUGAACAAAUUCUGAUAAAUUGGAAAGUUUUGAGCAGUUCAUGCUUCUAUCCAUUGUAUUCUUUACAAUAAAAUCCGCUGCCAGAAGAUUCAUACGCAGAAAGAAUGGUGGUUAAAGAACAAAACAAGAUAUGAGAAGCUCCAGAGUUACAGUCACAAUCUUGCUGAUUUUCCAAAUAUAUUACAAGUAGAAAAAUUUAGC